This is an RNA transcript of Prionailurus viverrinus (fishing cat), 935 nucleotides long. It is a transcript of the gene named chromosome B1 C4orf51 homolog, with no coding region annotated. Lineage: Eukaryota; Metazoa; Chordata; Mammalia; Carnivora; Felidae. The record is from RefSeq and is a predicted model, not a curated record. The transcript has 7 exons.
AGUUUGGUGAGCCCAGUCAAUUAUUUCUUGAUACUAAAAAGAAAUUAGUUCUCCAUUAUGUAGAGGGCUUGAAAAGUUGUCAUUCAGAGCAGGGCAUCCGUAGCGAUGUCACACUUCUUCUACUUGACUCCACAAAUUGUUCUGCCCUUCAGCCCUCUCACCUCUCAAGAGUUCGAUCUGAUCAGACGCAAGGCUGGCAUAUCUUGGCAGAAUGAAGCAAGGUGGUCACAUUCCUCUGUGACGACAUACGCAGGCAGUUACCGGAAAAAACAACUGGAUGAGUCCACAUGCAGCCGAUUUUCUCUUAAAGCAGGACAGCAUUGGCCUGAGUGUAACCAGGUGUCAUCACCUAAUGGCUCUGCCUUCAGUCCCACACUCUGCACGGCUGGUUCCCCAGAGUCUACAGAUGCUAAGGGACUAUUACCUCAUAUGACCAGUUCUUUCAAAAAUUCACAUGAUGUCAAGCACAGUGUGGCACACCAAAUUCCGUGUGGUGAUUUUUCUCCAGCACCUCCAAAUUAUGAAAAAUCAGGUAUGAGAAUUAAAAAGCCAGCAUCUAAGAAUCUGAUGAGCUACAAGCGACUAAAGAAAGACUUUCUGAAGCAUCUUCAGGAACCGUGUAAUUCGGCCAGCAAGGUUGGCUCGUCUGAAGACUCAGAAAGUGAUCAGUACUCCGUUUAUAGCCUGGGAGGAUCGUUCUCGUCACUGAGCUGAGUCGGAAAACCCAGUCCCAGAGCUGGAGGCCUGCAGCUUCGUUUAGUUAAAGACUUUGAGAUCCAGCGAUCAAGAAAGAAUUUAUCAAUAGAUCUGCUACCUCAUAAAGAAGAGGUCUUGGUUGAUGACUUGAGUCCAUUCAGAGCUUGGACAGGGGAAGAUUGUGCACCUUAGUCCCCACAGUCACCGCACUUUAUUUACCCCAGGGACUGCUUUUUGGA